Gadus morhua (Atlantic cod) is the source of this 3151-nucleotide long non-coding RNA. The record is from Ensembl. NCBI's taxonomy places the organism in Eukaryota, Metazoa, Chordata, Actinopteri, Gadiformes, Gadidae.
UGCGAUGCGAUCUUCCAGGAGGCCUAUGGGUCGGUUUUCAUCACCACUCUUGUCCUUGGAUUCAGCCCGUCCAUCGAUGGAAACACUACAAUAGAGGUGGAGCUUGUUUUCAAUAACACAGCAUCACCUGAAGUGACCGUUUCAACUGCCGAUGUACUGGAGACCAUGACGACGGCAGCAACCAACACCUCCGCUGGCGGAUUCUCCUUUGAUCCUGAAUCUAUUGUUGUCACAGGUAUGGUCACACUUUCCAUAUUUGAUAAAAAAUAAUAUUUCCAAUAACAAAAGUAAAACAAAGGUUUGUAUAAAUACAUAGUUACAAGUAACAUGUUCCUUCUCAGAAACGCAAAUCCCAACAGCAACUCCGACGACAGCAGCAACAGCAACUACAACUACGCCAACUCCAGCUACAGCACCCUCAGUUCCAACUACAGAUUAUUUUGUCACAGGAACUCUCACACCAAGCUCAACCAAGGCACCCAUCACAAGCACAAUCGUCUCUUCUGUUACACCAACCAUCACAACAGACGUAUCGGUUCCCACCCCAACUGUAAAUGUUGCUCCUGUCACGGUCACAACUGGAGCAUCUUCCACAUCAAGCAGCACCAUGGGUUCCACCCAAACAUCUUCCACAGCAAGCAGCACCAUGGGUUCCACCCAAACAUCUUCCACAGCAAGCAGCACCAUGGGUUCCACCCAAACAUCUUCCACAGCAAGCAGCACCAUGGGUUCCACCCAAACAUCUUCCACAGCAAGCAGCACCAUGGGUUCCACCCAAACAUCUUCCACAGCAAGCAGCACCAUGGGUUCCACCCAAACAUCUUCCACAGCAAGCAGCACCAUGGGUUCCACCCAAACACCUUCCAGCGAAUCCACGACCAGCCUCAUGACGACCACCAGUCCUCCGACCGCACCAUCAGCCCCUGCUCCGACCUUCAGUUUGUCGGUUACGUUAACACAAACUUACGACGAACAAUUAUCAAACCCGAGCAGUCAGCAGUUUAUUGCACUGCAGUUGAUCGUUGUUACAACGUGUAAUGCUAUCUACAGGGCAGAAUAUGGAUUCCUUUUCAUCCGCGUUAUUGUCAUUGGAUUCAGACCUGCCGGAGGUCGACGUAUGGCCAACACUGAAACCGUUUUGGAGCUUGUGUUCAAUAAUACUGCCCCAAGUGAAAGUAUUCCGCCAGCAGAGGAAGUUGCAAAUGUCUUGAGAAAUGCUGCAAUGGACAACUCCACUGAUAGUCUCCAAAUUGAUGCUACCACUAUUGUUGUCGAAAGAGUUGUUACCACUACCACAACGAUUGCCCCAACAACUGCCCAACCACUGACAAUAACUGCCAAACCAACGGCUACAACAGCCCAACCACCUGCUACAAAUGCCCAACUACCGGCCCCAACUCAAACCACAACCACUGCUGCAGUAGCGUUGGCUAACGUCCGAUUUGGAUUCCGUUCUGUCAGAGACACAUUUACAGCAGACCUUUUGAAUCCCUCAUCAGCAGCCUUCCAAAAUCGAGCCACAACCAUCACAUCUGCGCUCGAACCCUUGUUCAGAAGAGCUUUUGGUUCCUUCACUAGCUUGCAAGUGGUAACUUUCAGCCAAGGAUCGAUCAUCACCACCAUGGACGCAAAGUUCAGUUCAGCUCCUUCUAGUGACCAGAUAGCCAGAGUUCUGACCGAUGCCGCAGGAACCAUCACAGCUUUUGACAUUGAAACCAACUCUAUUACUGUUAAUGGUAUAGUGACGGGGGGAGUUUCAAGUGGAAUGAACAAAAGCAGUGCCUUCAUCAUAUCUUCGAUGGCACUUCUCUCAUGGCUACUCGUUUCAAGCUGAUCAUAGGACUUGGGUGUUCACUCAAGACAAACCCAAGACAACACAUAAGAACCAUUUUAACUAAGAAACAUUAUUAACCCUAUUAACCAUGUUAACCACAGAAUUAUAUUAACCAAGAUAAACAAACAAAUGAAUAAUAUAUAUUACUAAAUGAAUUGCUAUUUAAUCACAACAGAGUAUUUCUAAUUAAGAUAUCAUGCACUUUGCUUGUAAACAAAAGACUAUUCUCUUAAAUAAAAAGAUUAAGCUAUCAUAUUUGUUCUUGUCUAGUGUCAUCGAAAAAUAUUUUAAAUGUAGACCCCUCUAUAUCUUGUAUGGGGAAAUAUUAUCAAAAUAUAAAGAAAGAAAGAAAGAAAGAAAGAAAGAAAGAAAGAAAGAAAGAAAGAAAGAAAGAAAGAAAGAAAGAAAGAAAGAAAGAAAGAAAGAAAGAAAGAUUAGUAUUGCAUCGCAGAAGAUUAGGGUGUGUAACAAUUGGAGAAACCGUUGUUGAUACAUAGGGGAGAUAUGUUUUAGUGAAUUGUCAGAUAUACUCAGAACCCUGGACUCUCUUAAAUUUUUAGGCACCCAACUAUGUCGAUGAACCAUUUGUUCAAGAUAUAUUCUUGAAGGUGUCAUGAGAACGGCAAUAAAUUCUUAUAGGGGGUGACUUUAAUUUCUGCCUGUAUCCUGUUCUGAUAAGUCAGCUCUAUCAGUAUACAAAUCUAGAGUAGAGAAAAUCACCAUAGAAUAAAAUGGACGAACUCCAGUGUCUCAUAGCGAGGAGCAAGGACUUUCAUUCCUCGGCUGUGUUUGCGUUCGUGGAGACCCGUCGGUCGCCAGCUAUACCUGAUUGGUCUGUGGAGUUGGAAGGCUUCUCUACGUUCCGGGUGGACAGGGACUUCGAGGCAGUGAACAAGUCGCGUGGAGGUGGAGUACUGGUUUUUGUUAACGAUCGCUGGAGUUCGGAUGUAACAGUGAUUCUGGAAAACUGUUCCACUGAAAUAGAAUCCCUCUUCAUCCUCUGUCAGCCAUUUUAUCCCCCCUGUGAGUUCAGCUCAUUCAUUCUCGUGUGCGUUUAAAUUCCGCCUUCUGCUGACGUCACCGCAGCAGUAGACACACUGGACGAGCAGUUAAUGAGUGUGGAACGCCAGUACCCGGACAGAUUUGCUGUAGUUUUGAGAGACUGCAGCAACAACUUUCUGAAGGGAAUCCCUCCUCGGUCUAGAAAGGCCUCAAGAAGAUCACCAACUACAAACCAAAGCCCCCGCAGGCACCCAACAGCCUCCCCCUUGCCAACGAGCUCAAUGAGUUCUAUUGCAGGUUUGAGAAGGAGUUCCC